GACGAACGCUGGCGGCGUGCUUAACACAUGCAAGUCGAACGAGAAUCUACUGAAAGAGUUUUCGGACAAUGGAUGUAGAGGAAAGUGGCGGACGGGUGAGUAACGCGUGAGGAACCUGCCUUGAAGAGGGGGACAACAGUUGGAAACGACUGCUAAUACCGCAUGAUGCAUAAGAGUCGCAUGGCUUUUAUGUCAAAGAUUUAUCGCUUCAAGAUGGCCUCGCGUCUGAUUAGCUAGUUGGCGGGGUAACGGCCCACCAAGGCGACGAUCAGUAGCCGGACUGAGAGGUUGAACGGCCACAUUGGGACUGAGAUACGGCCCAGACUCCUACGGGAGGCAGCAGUGGGGAAUAUUGGGCAAUGGGCGCAAGCCUGACCCAGCAACGCCGCGUGAAGGAGAAGGCUUUCGGGUUGUAAACUUCUUUUAAGAGGGAAGAGCAGAAGACGGUACCUCUAGAAUAAGCCACGGCUAACUACGUGCCAGCAGCCGC
This 490-nucleotide ribosomal RNA is filed under the name uncultured bacterium. RNAcentral describes it as "bacterial SSU rRNA". It matches the Rfam family "Bacterial small subunit ribosomal RNA", at positions 28 to 518 of the family's 1533-position model. The record is from RNAcentral.